UACGAGGGGGGCGUGCGUUGUUCGGAAUUAUUGGGCGUAAAGGGCGCGUAGGCGGUCGGAUAAGUCUUGUGUGAAAUCUUCGGGCUCAACUCGAAGUCUGCACAGGAAACUAUCUGGCUUGAGUGUGGGAGAGGUGAGUGGAAUUCCUGGUGUAGCGGUGAAAUGCGUAGAUAUCAGGAGGAACACCUGUGGCGAAAGCGGCUCACUGGACCACAACUGACGCUGAGGCGCGAAAGCUAGGGGAGCAAACAGG
This 253-nucleotide ribosomal RNA is filed under the name uncultured bacterium. Its description in RNAcentral is "partial 16S ribosomal RNA". It matches the Rfam family "Bacterial small subunit ribosomal RNA", at positions 524 to 776 of the family's 1533-position model. The record is from RNAcentral.